This 468-nucleotide ribosomal RNA is filed under the name uncultured bacterium. RNAcentral's name for it is "partial 16S ribosomal RNA". It matches the Rfam family "Bacterial small subunit ribosomal RNA", at positions 28 to 507 of the family's 1533-position model. The record is from RNAcentral.
GACGAACGCUGGCGGCGUGCUUAACACAUGCAAGUCGAACGGAAAGGCCCUGCUUUUGUGGGGUGCUCGAGUGGCGAACGGGUGAGUAACACGUGAGUAACCUGCCCUUGACUUUGGGAUAACUUCAGGAAACUGGGGCUAAUACCGGAUAGGAGCUCCUGCUGCAUGGUGGGGGUUGGAAAGUUUCGGCGGUUGGGGAUGGACUCGCGGCUUAUCAGCUUGUUGGUGGGGUAGUGGCUUACCAAGGCUUUGACGGGUAGCCGGCCUGAGAGGGUGACCGGCCACAUUGGGACUGAGAGAGGGCCCAGACUGGUACGGGAGGCAGCAGGGGGGAAUAUUGCACAAUGGGCGGAAGCCUGAGGAAGCAGCGCCGCGGGCGGGAUGACGGCUUUCGGGUUGUAAACCGCUUUCGCCUGUGACGAAGCGUGAGUGACGGUAAUGGGUAAAGAAGCACCGGCUAACUACGUG